This 254-nucleotide ribosomal RNA is filed under the name uncultured bacterium. RNAcentral describes it as "partial 16S ribosomal RNA". It matches the Rfam family "Bacterial small subunit ribosomal RNA", at positions 524 to 776 of the family's 1533-position model. The record is from RNAcentral.
UACGGAGGGGACAAGCGUUGUUCGGAAUUACUGGGCGUAAAGGGCGCGUAGGCGGCCUGCUAAGUCGGAUGUGAAAUCCCUCGGCUCAACCGAGGAACUGCAUCCGAUACUGGCGGGCUUGAAUCCGGGAGAGGGAUGUGGAAUUCCAGGUGUAGCGGUGAAAUGCGUAGAUAUCUGGAGGAACACCGGUGGCGAAGGCGGCAUCCUGGACCGGUAUUGACGCUGAGGCGCGAAAAGCUAGGGGAGCAAACGGG